ACGAACGCUGGCGGCAUGCCUAACACAUGCAAGUCGAACGGAUGGUGGCAACACCAUUAGUGGCGGACGGGUGAGAAACGCGUGGGAACCUGCCUAGCUAUGGGGGAUAUCCAGGGGAAACCUUGGCUAAUACCGCAUACGCCCCGAGGGGGAAAGGCUUCGGCCGUAGUUGGAGGGGCCCGCGUCCGAUUAGGUAGUUGGUGAGGUAAUGGCUCACCAAGCCAACGAUCGGUAGCUGGUCUGAGAGGAUGAUCAGCCACACUGGGACUGGGACACGGCCCAGACUCCUACGGGAGGCAGCAGUGGGGAAUAUUGGACAAUGGGGGAAACCCUGAUCCAGCAAUGCCGCGUGAGUGAAGAAGGCCUUAGGGUUGUAAAGCUCUUUCGGCGGGGACGAUGAUGACGGUACCCGCAGAAGAAGCCCCGGCUAACUCCGU
Molecule: ribosomal RNA, 437 nt
Filed under: uncultured bacterium
Lineage: Bacteria
Description: bacterial SSU rRNA
Rfam family: Bacterial small subunit ribosomal RNA
Source: RNAcentral